UACGAAGGGGGCUAGGCGUUGCUCGGAAUUACUGGGCGUAAAGGGCGCGUAGGCGGAUAUCUAAGUUGGGGGUGAAAUCCCGGGGCUCAACCUCGGAAUUGCCUUCAAAACUGGAUAUCUUGAGUUCGGGAGAGGUGAGUGGAACUCCGAGUGUAGAGGUGAAAUUCGUAGAUAUUCGGAAGAACACCAGUGGCGAAGGCGGUUCGUCUGGGCCUUACCGUGACGCUGAGAGCGGAAAGCGAUGGGGAGCCGUA
RNAcentral lists this ribosomal RNA (254 nucleotides) under uncultured bacterium. RNAcentral describes it as "partial 16S ribosomal RNA". It matches the Rfam family "Bacterial small subunit ribosomal RNA", at positions 524 to 773 of the family's 1533-position model. The record is from RNAcentral.